Non-coding RNA from Kosmotoga pacifica, 331 nucleotides. The record is from Rfam. Lineage: Bacteria; Thermotogati; Thermotogota; Thermotogae; Kosmotogales; Kosmotogaceae.
AAAGUGAGACGGGUGGUCGCGGCUAACGCCGAGGAAAGUCCGGACUCCACGGGCGAGGAUGCUGGGUAACACCCAGGGGGAGUGAUCCCCGGUAAGGGCCAUAGAGAAGAAAACCGCCGAAAGGCAAGGGUGGAACGGUGGGGUAAGAGCCCACCAGAUCCGGGGCGACCCGGAUGCUUGGUAACCCCCAUCCGGAGCAAGUCCAAGCAGGGAGGGUCAGAGGACGCCCGCCAAAUUCCCUCCCGGGUAGGACGCUUGAGAAAUGCGGAAACGCAUUUCCCAGAUAGAUGACCACCUAAGACAGAAUCCGGCUUAUAGUCUCACUUUCCAG